Molecule: unclassified non-coding RNA, 356 nt
Filed under: Lactarius sp. (in: basidiomycete fungi)
Lineage: Eukaryota; Fungi; Basidiomycota; Agaricomycetes; Russulales; Russulaceae
Also listed under: 2 other names
Description: partial contains 5.8S ribosomal RNA, internal transcribed spacer 2, and large subunit ribosomal RNA
Source: RNAcentral
AACGCACCUUGCGCCCCUUGGUAUUCCGAGGGGCACACCCGUUUGAGUGUCGUGAAAAUCUCAACCUUCUCGGUUUCUUCUGGACACCGAAGGAGGCUUGGACUUUGGAGGCCUUUGCUGGCGUCUCUCUCUUGAGAGAGCCAGCUCCUCUUAAAUGAAUUAGCGGGGUCCUCUUUGCUGGUCCUCGACAUGUGAUAAGAUGUUUCCAUGUCUUGGUUUCUGGCUCUGUUGCUUUUGGGACCCGCUUCUAACCGUCUCAACGAGACAACGUUUGAGCGCGUCUCCCUUCUCGGGAGACCCUCUCAACCUCACGAACCCUUGACCUCAAAUCGGGUGAGACUACCCGCUGAACUUAA